AUGCAACGUUAUGGAUACCAUGACCGAUCACCAUCGAGAAAGAAGAAUUUUGAUAAAUCACUUCGGGUGAGCGGGGCCUUCAAGCGGCCUCAAUACGCCGGGGUUGUAAAUGACAUACCUUUCCUUAUGGGAAAUGCCGCCUCCUUACUAAAAAGGAAUAGAAUCAAGUUAUUUUUACCAAAGAAGUCCCGCUCUGACGGCCCGACGAGUCAUCUACUAAAAAGGACCCUCCCCGCUGUGCGCCCCUCCUUGAAUUAUUCGGUCAUGCAAUACUUUUUUAAUACUAAGAAUAAAAUGCAUUUCGACCCCGUCCUAGUUCUCAAUCAUUUCGUGGCACCGGGUGUGGCUGAACCAUCUACGACGGGGGGAGCGAAGGGAGAAAGCUUAGAUAAGAGAAUACGCUCUCGCAUCGCUUUUUUUAGAAAGCUCUACCAGCGAGAAAAAGUGUUUGGCCCGAGCCAAAAAGAGGUUGAUCCACUUCAUUCGCCAAGCGAAUGA
RNAcentral lists this ribosomal RNA (498 nucleotides) under Triticum aestivum (bread wheat). Its description in RNAcentral is "partial small subunit ribosomal RNA". The record is from RNAcentral. Lineage: Eukaryota; Viridiplantae; Streptophyta; Magnoliopsida; Poales; Poaceae.